RNAcentral lists this ribosomal RNA (407 nucleotides) under uncultured bacterium. RNAcentral describes it as "partial 16S ribosomal RNA". It matches the Rfam family "Bacterial small subunit ribosomal RNA", at positions 30 to 526 of the family's 1533-position model. The record is from RNAcentral.
AUUGAACGCUGGCGGCAGGCCUAACACAUGCAAGUCGAGCGGAGCGGCGGACGGGUGAGUAAUGCCUAGGAAUCUGCCUGGUAGUGGGGGAUAACGUCCGGAAACGGGCGCUAAUACCGCAUACUAUCAGAUGAGCCUAGGUCGGAUUAGCUAGUUGGUGGGGUAAAGGCCUACCAAGGCGACGAUCCGUAACUGGUCUGAGAGGAUGAUCAGUCACACUGGAACAGAGACACGGUCCAGACUCCUACGGGAGUCAGCAGUGGGGAAUAUUGGACAAUGGGCGAAUGCCUGGGCCAGCCAUGCCGCGUGUGUGAAGAAGGGCUUCGGAUUGUAAAGCACUUUAAGUUGGGAAGCGUUACCAACAGAGUAAGCACCGGCUAAGUUCGUGACAGCCUCCGCGGUAAUAA